This is a long non-coding RNA of Mustela erminea (ermine), 1090 nucleotides long. RefSeq lists it as uncharacterized. The transcript is spliced from 3 exons. The record is from RefSeq and is a predicted model, not a curated record. NCBI's taxonomy places the organism in Eukaryota, Metazoa, Chordata, Mammalia, Carnivora, Mustelidae.
UGAGGUUUAAAUGGAGCACUGCAUAUGGAGCAGUGAGCACGACGCCUGGACCCAGGAAGAGCUCCUUCCACUGGAACCAGUGUUGUGCUCAUUACUAACGGAUUUGAUGAUUACAGGCCAAAACCACCAUCUCCAGCUUCACCAGCGUUUGUCAGGUUUGAGGCAAGCAUUUGGAAUGAACUGACACAUUUCUGGACUUAUCCAUCGCAUAAAUCGAGGAUGGGUGUAUGUGCUCAUGGUAAAAAUUCAAAUAUUACGGGGGCACGGGUGACUCUGAAAGUGAGAGUUCCCCUAUAGUUAUGCUUUCUGAAAAUAAGCAGUAUUUCCAGUCCUUGGUACAUUCUUCCAGAUUUUGUCCACGCUUAUGUACAUACAAGCAAGAGGCUGUUACUUUUUGUGCUGUAUAAAAUUGCCUUUCCCUUGACUCUGCCUUGGACAUCUUUUCACGUCAGUUCAUCAAGAGCUAUGAUGUGAGAGGACUCACAUGUGACUCCUCAGACACAUAUCUGUGGUCAGACUCAAUAGAGCAUCAUAAUUCCAAAGGAUCUGCUGAGCUCGAGUUUCUUCCCAACACCACAGACCAGGAAGGAUGACAUUCACCAACGCUUGGGAAAUGGCUGACUCUUCUCAGAGAACAUCCCCACUCAUCGCCCACAACCCAUGACCUGUCCCUCGCAGCAGAGCUGCUGGGGACCGCCAUCAUGCUGGCCAAGCCCACCCACUUGUCCCAAAAGGUGACUUCCCAGGCAGAUCUAGCUUAUCAAUGGGACACUAUCCUCACAGGAAAAGUCUGAGUUCUAGGAAAGGAAUACACUUACUGGAAAAUAUGCAGAGAAAAACAGCAUAAUCAGAAUGACUACAUGUUUAACGAAAUGCCUACAAAGUAAACCAUUAUGUCAACUUCAUUAAUUGGUCAAUUUACUAUUUAUCAUCGUUUCACGACAUUUGAAAAAUGAAUUGAAAGUAACGUUGGCCCAUUUGCAAGAAUUCUUGAGGAAUGCAUGAAGACUGCCAACAAAUAACAUGAAUUCCUCAUAUCCUUAUUAUUUUUAAAAGCAAAAUUAUUAAAGGGGUGCCUGGCUGGCUUAGU